GGUCUUAUAUUUUAUAAAAAUUAUUAAAUUGCAAAUUUAAAGAUGAUUGAAAGUCUA
This 57-nucleotide transfer RNA is filed under the name Argas sp. SpringbokSA-QMS95171. RNAcentral describes it as "tRNA-Cys". The record is from RNAcentral. Lineage: Eukaryota; Metazoa; Arthropoda; Arachnida; Ixodida; Argasidae.